CACCGCGCUCGCAACCACACUCCACGGAUGAUCAAACCGAUCACCCCACCACCAAAACAAACCCACAAGUUUGCUCUCCAUGUGGGUCACCACAUAAGAGAAUAGA
RNAcentral lists this unclassified non-coding RNA (106 nucleotides) under Mycolicibacterium smegmatis. Lineage: Bacteria; Bacillati; Actinomycetota; Actinomycetes; Mycobacteriales; Mycobacteriaceae. The record is from RNAcentral.